Long non-coding RNA from Brassica oleracea var. oleracea, 212 nucleotides. RefSeq lists it as uncharacterized. NCBI's taxonomy places the organism in Eukaryota, Viridiplantae, Streptophyta, Magnoliopsida, Brassicales, Brassicaceae. The transcript is spliced from 3 exons. The record is from RefSeq and is a predicted model, not a curated record.
AUUUCCACUUUCUGAUUGAUUGACAUGCAGUCUAAAAUGGUGGACUACAUCCUUGGCGUUUCUGAUCCCAUGCAAUGGCACUCUCAGAAUCUGAAAAUGAAUUCAGAUCACUAUGCUUCAUGGAUGGUUCACCUUGGUGGAGCUAGGCUGAUUACGCAAGUUGCAGAUAAAGUAGGUGUUGGAGUUCACUUCAACCCAUUUGUCAGUUGGAA